RNAcentral lists this ribosomal RNA (427 nucleotides) under uncultured bacterium. RNAcentral's name for it is "partial 16S ribosomal RNA". It matches the Rfam family "Bacterial small subunit ribosomal RNA", at positions 355 to 774 of the family's 1533-position model. The record is from RNAcentral.
UGGGGAAUAUUGCACAAUGGGCGCAAGCCUGAUGCAGCCAUGCCGCGUGUGUGAAGAAGGCCUUCGGGUUGUAAAGCACUUUCAGCGAGGAGGAAGGGUAGUGUGUUAAUAGCACAUUGCAUUGACGUUACUCGCAGAAGAAGCACCGGCUAACUCCGUGCCAGCAGCCGCGGUAAUACGGAGGGUGCAAGCGUUAAUCGGAAUUACUGGGCGUAAAGCGCACGCAGGCGGUUUGUUAAGUCAGAUGUGAAAUCCCCGCGCUUAACGUGGGAACUGCAUUUGAAACUGGCAAGCUAGAGUCUUGUAGAGGGGGGUAGAAUUCCAGGUGUAGCGGUGAAAUGCGUAGAGAUCUGGAGGAAUACCGGUGGCGAAGGCGGCCCCCUGGACAAAGACUGACGCACAGGUGCGAAAGCGUGGGGAGCAAACA